Molecule: long non-coding RNA, 160 nt
Organism: Gymnogyps californianus (California condor)
Lineage: Eukaryota; Metazoa; Chordata; Aves; Accipitriformes; Cathartidae
Exons: 3
Source: RefSeq, a predicted model, not a curated record
GAGGAGAGGCGAGCGGAGCGCUGUAAGAAGGUGAUACCCGAGCCUCGACGUGGCAACCUGUAAACAGCAGAGGCGGUGCGGGCGAGCGGCCAAGUUUUUUUCAGAUGCUGCAAGAGGCUCAGAGGGGCGAAGCCGCAUGCUGAUGAGCGGUCCGAGAAGG